Manis javanica (Malayan pangolin) is the source of this 2223-nucleotide long non-coding RNA. RefSeq lists it as uncharacterized. The record is from RefSeq and is a predicted model, not a curated record. NCBI's taxonomy places the organism in Eukaryota, Metazoa, Chordata, Mammalia, Pholidota, Manidae.
CCUUUCUGAUGCUUCGUAUACCACCAAGGAUGCUUUGCAUUCUGCCGCCGUCUCAGCCCCUGGGGCAGCUCCCCUUCUGACCCCAUGGGGCUGAAGUGGGACUGCAGCUCAUCGAAAAGAAACUGGCAGAAACUCAGAAUGUCAACAAGACAAAUGGGCUGACAAUGAGCGGGCUUAGAGAGCCAGCCAUUCCCGAGGGGGCUGGAUUCCACCCGGAGGCCACCUCCUGUUGUUUCUUAGGGUAAAUAGCCAGGAAGUGUCUCCCCUCAAGGCAGCCUUAGAGGAAUUCUUAGGACAAGAGGCUCUGGCUUAGAGACUUAUUUAAUUAAAACAUGUGGAUGAAAUGAGAAAGCAGGAUUGGGCCCAAGCCCUAGGAGGAGACUGGGCCCUGUGAAGUUCCAUACUGCUGUCCAGGGAUUGAGAAAUGGGGCCUCCCAGAGACACCUGCAAUGCCCAGCAGCACCUGCAAUGGUCGCAACUGAGUCACACAGCCCUGGCCAGGGGCCUCGGCUCUCGGCAUCCAGGGAUCCGGGAGGCUCAGAUGCACCUUGACCCUCCAGGGAAGCAUCAGCCGUGGGAGCCUCUCUGCGCUCCUCUGGUGGGCGAUGGGGCAGCAGCGGGACUUCCUGGGCUCUGAGGCAGCAGCAAUCCUGGGCAGACCCUGCACCCGUGCCCGUCUUCCCAGGCCCUGAUGUCUCAGGUGCGGCAGUGGGUGGAGAACACGAGGAACAGUGAUCCUUCGAGGAGCAUCUUUCUUCCCCUGCCCCCCACGCCUCCAGCCGGAGCUCCUCCAGGCCUGCCCUGACCCCAGGCCAGCACGGAAGCUGCGUGGGAACACUCGGGAGAGAAAGAAGGUGUUUCCUCGCACUUCACUUUCAACCUUUUUGUAACUUUAGAGUGGUUUCUUAUAGACAUUAUUUAGUAAGGUCUUUAAAAAAAAAAUAUAUAUAUAUAUAUAUAGUUUCAUAAUCUCUACCUUUUAAUUAUAAUAUUAAUGCUAUUUACAUUUAAAAAUCAUUAUAUAUAUGGUUGCUUUUAAGUUUAUCAUCUUGCUAUUUGUUUUCCGUUUGUCCCAUGUGUUCUUUGUUUCCCUCUUUUCCUGGGUUUUUUGCUUUAACUGAGCAUUCUUUUAGGAUUAAAAGACCAUGUCCUUUUGACUUGCUUUAUUAAAAACAAAUUUUUUAGUGGCAACUUUACAACAGUAUUUCUCAACUGGGGUGAUUUUGCCCCCUCGGAGACACUCACUAGUGUAUGGACAGAUUUUUGUGUGUCAUACCCGGUAGGAGGAGGGAAUGUUCCUGGCAUCCAGUAGGUAGAGGUCAGGAUACCACUAAGCACCAGCCGAAGCACAGGACAGCCCUCCACGAUAAAGAAUUAUCCGGCAGAAAAUGUCUCUAUUUCCAAGUUGAGACACCCUGCUUUCCAUGGUCAACAGGCAUAUUUAAUCUAUCACAGUUUAGCUUCAAACUAUAUUUUACCAUUUCAUAUGUAAGAAACUUUCACCAAUCCAUUUAUUUCCAUUAUCCCCCUUCUGCCUUUGAGCUAUUGCUGUCAUACUUCUACUUUCACAUAUUUUAUAACCCCCAUGAAGCAUUGUUAUGAUUUUUGUUUUAAAUAAUUAAUUAUCUUUUAAAUUAAAUGGAGGUAAAAAUCAUUUAUGUUGACCCAUGUUCAUCCUUUUUGGCACUCAGGUCCUUUACGGAGUUUCAAAUUUCCCUUUAGUAUCAUUUUUCUUUCUUAACCCUAAAGUGAUUCUUUUAAUAUUUUUCAUAGUGCAGAGCUGUUGGCAAUGGUUCCCUCAGUUUUGGUUUGUUUAAAAAUGUCUUUAUUUCACCUUUGUAUUUGAAAGAUAUUUUUACUAGAUGUAGAAUUUGAGAUUGGCGGGAUUUUUUUCAUUUAGCACUUUCAAUCAUUCCUUCUGUUAUCCCCUGGCUCAGAUAGCUUUUGAUGAGCAGUUGGCUGUUAUCUUUGUUACUAUGUAUGGAAUAUCUUUUUUCUCUGGCUGCUUUGAAAAUUUUUCCUUUUAUCACUUGUUUGAAGCAAUUUAGAUACUGCUUGUUAGUUAAAGGUUCUUUCAUUUAAAAAAAAUUUUUUUUAAGUUAUACCAUCUUGUUUUGUACAUACAGAAAAGUGCUAAAACUUACAGGUAAAGCUUAAGAAAAAUAGUAAAAUGGAUACCUACCUACCCACCACUCAUAUUAAUAAAUGUAUCUAUCCCACAAA